GGAUUUCAAAACAUGAAAGAAUUGAAGUCUUUGCAUAAUCAUGGGAAAUCUCACAAUUCUAUCUCAUACAUAUACAUAAUUCUAGUAUCAAAUAUGAGAGCUAAUAUAAUUCAACUAUGAACUCACGGACGGUAGAGUUUCAUUACAAAGGAACAAACCCGAAUAAUCCAAAUAACCCUAAUAGACAUAACUGGGUCCGAUCGGGUCAAAAUGGAUUCACAAUCCGUUUUCUUCACAAUAAUCUUAAAAAAUUCCUUACUCUAAGAUAAUGAGUAGACCAUUUACAAUGACUUGAUUAAUCUGUAAAACAGGUUUUAAAAAUUCAACACA
This 330-nucleotide long non-coding RNA is filed under the name Citrus maxima (pomelo). Its description in RNAcentral is "long non-coding RNA (CMAX_LNC000485)". Lineage: Eukaryota; Viridiplantae; Streptophyta; Magnoliopsida; Sapindales; Rutaceae. The record is from RNAcentral.